Molecule: transfer RNA, 103 nt
Rfam family: tRNA
About the family: Transfer RNA (tRNA) molecules are approximately 80 nucleotides in length. Their secondary structure includes four short double-helical elements and three loops (D, anti-codon, and T loops).
Source: Rfam
UCCGAAUUAGUUUAGUGGCUAUGACGGCGCCUUGUCAUUCAAUUGACUACGUUCUCCGCGCAGAAAUACGGCGCAGACCCGGGUUCAAUUCCCGGAUUCGGAG